GAAACUUAGCAGAAUAUCGGGGAUUCUAGGCAUAUACCGAUGAGGCGUAUACCCAACGGGCUUUAUACUUAUGGGCUUUUUCACGUCAUGAAAGGAAAUAACCAACGUAUGUUUUACAUGUCGAAUCUCGGAUACGUAGUAUUCCGCAGACAUUUUUACGGCGUUAAAGGCAUCACGUUCAAUAAAGUUCGUCAGUUAAUAAUUAUGAUCUAAGGUGUAUACGCGGCUUUAAUAUGUCACAUGACGGCGUUCAAUGUAUUGUCAAACUCUCAAGGAAAUAACAUUUUGGCAACUGGAGAUUCAUACAGCAGUAUCCAGUACCUGUUUAAAGUCUCUAAAUCUUUCAUAACUUAUAUUGUUCCUAAAGUUAGCCAUAGUAGAAGUACUACGUGAACGAAAAUAUAUAAAGAUGGAUCGACCAAAAUGGACCGGUAUUGUGGCCAGCUAGAUCUCCCGAGUUGACCCCCCUUGACUACCAUGUUUAGCGAAGAAUGAAAGAACUGGUAUACAAUGAAGAAAUCCUAACUCGAGAACACCUUAUCCAAAAAAUUAACGCAGCAGCAGAAAUAAUGAAGGCGGAACUGAUUCUAGGCGUAUCCCCUACAGAGGGACGAAGAUGUCGGCGUGAUAUUAGAAACGGUGGUUCUCAUUUCGAGCAUUGUAAAUAUAUAAAAAUAAUUUUUG
Anthonomus grandis grandis is the source of this 684-nucleotide long non-coding RNA. RefSeq lists it as uncharacterized. Lineage: Eukaryota; Metazoa; Arthropoda; Insecta; Coleoptera; Curculionidae. The record is from RefSeq and is a predicted model, not a curated record. The transcript is spliced from 2 exons.